GCGGCANGCCUAACACAUGCAAGUCGGACGGUAGCACAGAGGAGCUUGCUCCUCGGGUGACGAGUGGCGGACGGGUGAGUAAUGUCUGGGGAUCUGCCCGAUAGAGGGGGAUAACCACUGGAAACGGUGGCUAAUACCGCAUAACGUCGCAAAGACCAAAGAGGGGGGACCUUCGGGNCCUCUCACUAUCGGNAUGAACCCCGAUUGGGAUUAACUUAUNAGGNCGGGNUAACGGCCCCC
Molecule: ribosomal RNA, 240 nt
Filed under: Pantoea ananatis
Lineage: Bacteria; Pseudomonadati; Pseudomonadota; Gammaproteobacteria; Enterobacterales; Erwiniaceae
Description: partial 16S ribosomal RNA
Rfam family: Bacterial small subunit ribosomal RNA
Source: RNAcentral